AGAUAGCAAGGGUGCUUGAGGCAUUUUCAGAGAGAUACUAUGAGCAAUCUCCACAGAUUCUAGCUAAUAAAGAUGCUGCUCUGUUGUUAUCAUAUUCAAUAAUAAUGCUCAACACUGACCAGCAUAAUGUUCAGGUAAAGAAGAAGAUGACAGAGGAGGAUUUCAUCCGUAACAAUCGGCACAUUAACGGAGGUAAUGAUCUUCCUCGUGAUUUUCUA
Molecule: unclassified non-coding RNA, 218 nt
Filed under: Hevea brasiliensis (rubber tree)
Lineage: Eukaryota; Viridiplantae; Streptophyta; Magnoliopsida; Malpighiales; Euphorbiaceae
Source: RNAcentral